This 32100-nucleotide long non-coding RNA is filed under the name Malus domestica (apple). RNAcentral's name for it is "long non-coding RNA (MDOM_LNC009757)". Lineage: Eukaryota; Viridiplantae; Streptophyta; Magnoliopsida; Rosales; Rosaceae. The record is from RNAcentral.
AUUCUGUUGAGUUGGGACAAAUCCUCACAAUGUCUAAAUGCGCGGUGUUGAUGCAGUUGUGACAUGUCUCAUUCGUAACAUAAUCGAGGCACAUAUAAAGGCCAUAAACUCUAUCUGGUUCAUUUCCAACGGAGGUAUUGUACAGCUUGGAAACAGAAGCAUUCGAAGGCAAUGAAUUGAGCAGGCUCUGAAGGUUUUUCUGAAACGUACUAUUUUCGACAUAACCGCGAACAUCUGAGCACAACUUGUAUGGAGGAUCAGCAUAAGCAAGAUCAAAAAGGAAGGUGAUGAGAUAACAAAGCAAAAAAAGAGAGAUUGUUUUCGGAACACAAGGGAAAUUAGCCAUGUUUUGAUCUCUAAUCAUAGAAAAAGAUUAGGGAAACUUUUAUAUAUAGCUUUGAAGUCUUCUCCUUCCUGCUCGAAAUAUGGUUAAAAAUCUCGGAGUACGAGCACCAUUGAAUUUUUGUGAAUUGAUAGGUAGUUUCUUGGAAGACUUGUUUAAUUAAAUUAGUUAUCAUCACAUCAGUACAAAUUCUAAGAAAACAAAGACUUCGACUGGCUGUAUUUUCCAGGAAAUUUUUCACAGUUGGUCAUGGUUUUGUUUGUAAUUCAGUCAAUGUCACACCACAAGUUGAAAGAUAUAUUAACUCAAAACUAAUAGAUAACGACAGAGACUUCCACAAACCAUCAAAUAAUAUAAUAGUCACACAUGUUUUGCGGUGGUUUACUUAUUUUUAUAUAUACAUGCGAGAUUAGCAUGUUCAGUAGGUCACACAAUUAGAAUUAAACUUCAUUGCCUAGCCUACUCUCCAUGUAUGCAUGCCUGAUUUUCAGACAAAUCUAUUUGAAAUUAUUAGUUUCAUUUUCAUCCAAUUUUGUCAUUAAAAAUAAAACAAUUAAAAUUUCAGAAAAGUUGGUAACUUACAUUCAUGGUCUAAAAUAUCCAUAAUAUCCCGAUAUUUCCAUCGAAAUUUCCAUGUUUUUUUACUACCGAUAUUUCCGAUAUCAUCGAUAUUUUAGACCUUGCUAAGUCACUCAUGUAUCUUACCAUGCAAUGUAUAAGAUGUAAAAUAUUAUACUAAUUCAUUAUAUAUAAAUGAUUAUGGUGUGUUUAAACUUCUUUCAUUAAUUACUACAUAUUUUCUACACUCACAAUGUUUGCCAGCUCGCUAUAUAAUCAACUUAAAUUAGUUAUAUCUAUCAUGCAAUGCAUUCCUUCUAAUUUUUUGUGAUAAACUAGCAGAUAAUUGACUAAAUAAACAUCCUGCAAAGUUUCUGUUGAUGCACAAAAUCAGCGAAGACUUUGGUACAACAGAAAGUGUCAGGUUUUAUGACCUUCGCUUGGUUGCUUCGGUCACUAGUGAGGAUAAGUACGUAAAUGAACAGAGACAGAGAAGCAAACACAGGAUGUACGUGGUUCACCCAGAUUGGCUACGUCCACGGAGUAGAGGAGUUCUUAUUAGUAGUGAAAGGCUUACACAAGUACAAAGGAUCAAGCUCUCAAUUUAGAGUUCUUGUGAAUGAUUUAACACAAAUGGCAUUAGGCCAUAUUGUGGGAGAAUGACCCCUAUUUAUAGAAAAACUUGUAGCUUUGUCACAUUGACAUGUGUCAUAUUAUGAUUGGUUCUUGAUGUUGACACGUGCUGCGCUCUGAUUGGCUUCUAAUCUUGACACGUGUCGAGUAGUGAUUGGCCUCCUGGUCGGAGGGGAACUCUUCUGGGUCCUUGACAGUAUAGCGUUGGCCGGUGCUCGGUAGUUUCGGGAUUGGUCAAGUAUGGUACAAACAGUGCUCCCCUAAGUUCCCGAGUGAGGGAAACUCCUCGGUUGGGGACUUGCAAGAUCUAAUCCCUUGAGUAAUCACGAAACUUCUAAGUACCGAAGUGUGGUCUGAUCUUCAUCUGCCCUUCUCUGGAAGUACCUUUCCUCCAUCCGGGAAUGGUGUAUUUAGCUGAUGUGUUGACGCACAAGGUAAUGUAUCAAUUUCACUUGAAGCUUAGUUGUAGUUUCGGGCUUAGUAAGUGUCAUACAAACCCUAUAGUAGGAGUCCCCCAAGUCGCCGAGCUAGGAGAUCUGCCGAAAGAGGUGACAGACAAGGUAAGCAGUCAAACUUCCAAGUAAGCAACCCAGGAUCAGAGGUUUGACUUCGGCUUCCGGUUGAUUGUUCUCAUUCUCCUUGUCUCUCAUUCAACUGCCAGGAUAAGGAGAAGCAAAUGGAUAAGAGAUGAUAUGAGAUACUUUUGCUUUUUUGAAGAAGUAACUUUCCACAGGCUUAUUCUUGAACUGUGCUGGAGGGUUUUCUGGUGCCCUUCAGAGUAUAAGGCCGACUCAAAAAUUUGAGGGUCAAAACAAGUCCAUCAAAUCUAGAGUACGUUCGACCUUGAUGAUAUGGGAUACUUUUGCUGUUGACGGAAUAGAAUAAUGAAUGUGGUAUGGAAAGGUGUCGUGCUGUAGUGAUCUGUUUCAGCUCACCGUUGAACCUUCUGCUUCAAUCUUUUGCAUGGCAGAAGUGGUGUGCAACCUUUGCAUUUAAAUGGUCCUUCAGAACAUUCCUUCAUAGUGACUCAUCCACGCUUGGCAGCUUCAGUGUAAAGAGCCAAUAUCUGAUCAACUGUCAUGAGGUAUUUGCCGGUGGAAUUCGUGACCUUGACAGCAGUUAAGGAUGAGUACUCGAGAGCAAUGCUAAGUAAGCAACCAGGCAAAGGCUCCAGGCAGUCAGUUCCAAAUUGGAGGUUUGAUUUCAGGUUCCGACUGACUGCUCUCUUUCUCCUUGUCCUGCAGGUGUGGACAAGGACAAAGACAAAGACAGGGAGAAAGCAUGAUAUGGGAUACUCUUGCUUUCGACCCUGAUGAUAUGAGAUACUCUUGUUCUUGGUGUGGCUUAUUUGCUGAGGUAUUAUCGGGGGGGAAAUAAAGCUGAGUAUUUCGAGAGGUUAUGUUGAGGGUGCCUUUUCGAAUGCGAGAAAGGGUUGAGCAUUUUUGCAGGUUUGCCUGUCCGUUGAGGAGGGAGGUCAAUGUAUAUAGGGAUUUCCCAAUAACAAGUAGUAAUGCUAUUCCUUUACCCUUCUUGGUCACAGCAAUGUAGUGGGAGCUGCCAGCUUCACGUGUUUUAAUUUGUGUCAGAGCACUUUGAAAAAGUGGUAUGUGGUAUCUGGAAAGCUGAUAUUACGUGUGAAGAUUACAGACAAGCUUUAUCUAAGGAAAUCUGGCUCUCGAAGUUCUGAGAGUUGUGCCUCUUCGGUUUUCGAACAAGCAAUCCCGUCGAGGAUCUGACUCUCGAGAUUCGGAAAGCGGUGCUACUCCGGUUUUUUGAGAAAGUAAUUAUGUUGGGAGUCUUUUCUCGAAUGUGAGUAAAGGUUGGACGUUCUUGCCAACCUGUCUUGCCGCAAAAACACGGAGGUCGACACACAUAGGGACUUUCCAGUUGUCAAGCAGUGGUGCUGUUCCUUUACCCUUAUGGGUAAUAGUAGGGUAGCUGGAACUUCGAAAUUCUCGUGCCUAAACUUUGUCAGAGAUCUUUGACAAAGUUAUAUGUGGUACCCGAGGAGUUGAUGGUGCAUAUGGAGAGCGGUGAUUGAAUCAGUAAGAUUCACGUGCUUUCUACUUCACCAGAAAUCUUCGACAGAUUGCCCGUAAUUUCCGCAAAGCUGAUUGUGCAUGUGACAGGUGCUGACGAGGCUGAAAAAGCAGGUGCUUCUUCGAUUUCUGAGAUCGGCCCUCGUGGUCUCUGAGCAGCCCAGCUUUUGAGAAAGCAAACGCCUCUUCGAUUUCUGAGAUCGGCCCUCGUGGUCUCUGAGCAGCCCAGCUUUUGAGAAAGCAAACGCCUCUUCGAUUUCUGAAGCUCCGUCGAGUGCAGAUUUUUAUAGAGGCUGGCAUUAAGUUCCACAGCACACUUGAAUCUCUACCAGUAGAAGCUCAUUUCUUGCACUUCUAAGAUCUUGAUUUGUCUGACCUCUUCCCUCUUCAACACAUUUGAAAAUGUCUGGACCCUCCGACCGUCGUUUUGACUUGAACCUUGGAGAAGAGACAGCCACGCCUUCUCCAGACAACAUAUGGCGCCCAUCCUUCAUAUCCCCCUACUGGUCCUCUUACCGUUGGGGAUUCUGUGAUGAAGAAUGAUAUGACCGCUGCAGUGGUGGCCAGGAACCUUCUCACUCCCAAAGAUAACAGACUACUUUCCAAACGGUCUGAUGAGUUGGCUGUUAAGGACUCUCUGGCUCUUAGUGUUCAGUGUGCAGGUUCUGUGUCUAAUAUGGCCCAACGCCUAUUUGCUAGAACUAGAACCGCCAAGUUGAAUCAUUGGCUGCUGAAGUGAUGAGUCUCAAACAGGAGAUUAGAGGGCUCAAGCAUGAGAAUAAAGCAGUUGCACCGGCUCGCCCAUGACUAUGCUACAAACAUGAAGAGGAAGCUUGACCAGAUGAAGGAAUCUGAUGGUAAGGUUUUACUUGAUCAUCAGCGGUUUGUGGGUUUGUUCCAAAGGCAUUUAUUGCCUUCGUCCUCUGGGGCUGUACCUGGUAAUGAAGCUUCAAAUGAUGAACCUCCAAUGCCUCCUCCUUCUGGGGUUUUGUCAAGUACUGAGGCUCCGGAUAACCACCCUCCGGUGCUUUCUCUUUCUGGGGCUCUACCGACUGCUGAGACUUCCCCUAAGCAACCUUUGUGAAGGCUCCCUUUUGUUUUGUUUAUUUUGACUCAUGUAUAUGUACAUAUUUGUGGCUUAUCGAAAAUAUUAAUAAAUAAGCUUUGCUUCAUUUCAACAUAUUGUGUUAAAUACACCAAAGCCUUCUUCAUAAAGUUCUUUGAAUUUUUGCUUUUUGUUGAAACCUGUAUUGUUGAAGCUUUGUGAGUGAAGCAUGUAGUUUGAGGUAGUGUUCCCUUAAUUUCCCGAGUGAGGAAAACUUCUCGGUUGGAGACUUGAAAAAUCCAAGUCACUGAGUGGUUGUGAGACUGCCGAGUAUCAAGGUGCAGUAGCAUAUGGUGGGAGUCCCCCAAGUCUUCAGGCGAAGAGAGUUGCCGAAUGAGGUGUCUCGCGUGUUACUAAUUUGUCAAAGUAACGAAUUCUUGUUUCGAUGUCACACAUUCGUAUAUUUGCUUUAUCUAAAAAAUAUUUCCAACUUUUGUGUGUUUGAUGCUGCAUGCUAUUGACUAGACAAGAUCAAGUGCAAUUAGUAGCUUUUCUCUUUUUUUCAUCUUUUCUUUGGUGGAAUUGCUUUUCGUUUCCACUAAUCAGCCUGAGUGGAUGCAAGAUAACACCUUUCUCUAUAGCUCAGAUUGCAAAGUCGUCUUCAUGAAAGUUUUUCCUUAUCUUGUGAACUACAACAUAUCCAAAUUUGAGAUCCAUCGGAGUAGUACAACUUCAGAAAUUCAAGUAUGAUGAGUAACUGUUCAUCAAUGUUCUGUUAAUCCGUCAGACUUGUUGUGAGCUUCGAAACUCCAUUUUCUCUUGUUCAGAUCAACAUACUUUCUUCAUCGAAGUUGUUCCUUAACUUGUGAACUACAACAUAUCCAAAUUUGAGGUCCCUCGGAGCAGUAUAACUCCAGAAAUCCAGGUAUGAUGAGUGACUGUUUAUCAUUUGUCUGUCAACCCGUCAGAUUUGUUGUGAGCUUUGAAACUCUAUUUUCUCUUGCUCAGAUCAGCAUGCUUUCUUCAUUGAAGUUGUUCCUCAGCUUGUGAAAUACAACAUAUCCAAAUUUGAGAUCCCUCGGAGCAGUAUAACUCCAGAAAUCCAGGUAUGAUGAAUGACUGGUUAUUAUUUUUCUGUCAACCCGUCAGAUUUGUUGUGAGCUUCGAAACUCCAUUUUCUCUUGUUCAGAUCGGUAUGCUUUCUUCAUUGAAGUUGUUCCUCAGCUCGUGAACUACAACAUAUCCAAAUUUGAGAUCCCUCGGAGCAGUAUAACUCCAGAAAAUCCAGGUAUGAUGAAUGACUGGUUAUUAUUUUUCUGUCAACCCGUCAGAUUUGUUGUGAGCUUCGAAACUCCAUUUUCUCUUGUUCAGAUCGGCAUGCUUUCUUCAUUGAAGUUGUUCCUCAUCGACUCUUUCAUAACAUAUCAAAAAUUCAGGAUGAACUAACGGUUAAAUAUUUCCAGAUCUUCGAAACAUCACAACAGCUUCGAAAUCUGCAAGAAGCCGACUAUCAUGUUUGGAGCUUCAACACUUUAAUUUCCGUCGCUCAAACAGAAAUGGUUCCUUCUUGAAAGUUGUUCAUAUGCUCAAGAACUAUAGGGUGUCCAAAAUUCAGCUCCAUUGGAGAAGAGCAGAGGUUGCAGAAAUUUGAUAGAUGAAAGGAGGCGGAAGAGGGAGAGAGAGAAAAAGUCUCUUGGGUUGGAUUUCUAUUUUGGGGCAGAUUCCAAUUUUUGUAGCACCUUCAUUAUUGAUGAAUUGCUUGUACUUUUGUCCAUUAUGAAACUUGGGACUUUGGCUUGUUGUUGGAUCUAUUAUAAUAUGUUUGGGAACAUAUAUAAGUGAAUAAAUAAGAAGGAAAAUUUUGGGCCCUUGUGGGUGUAAAAACAAAAAAUGUUUAUGUUUACCCAAGUGUUUUUGUACAAGUUCAAGGGCAUCUUGGGUUUUGUGAACAAAAUUUGUUUAUUUGGAGCAAGGUUUUGUGUUGAAGCUUUGUAGGUGAAGCUUUGGUGUUGAAGCUUUCUAGGUGAAGCUUUUGAUGGUGAAGCUUUGUAGAUGAAGCUUUGUAGGUGAAGCUUUUAGGUGAAGCUUUGAUGGUGAAGCUUUUGGUGAAGCUUUUGUAGUGAAGAGCUUUCUAGGUGAAGCUUUUUAGGUGAAGCUUUUGUAGGUGAAGCUUUUUUUAAGUGAAGCUUUUCGGGUGAAGUUUUUUUUUUGUGGGUGAAGCUUUGUGGGUGAAGCUUUUUAGGUGAAGCUUUGUGGGUGAAGCUUUGGAGGUGAAGCUUUUUUCGGGUGAAGCUUUUUGGGUGAAGCUUUUUAGGUGAAGCUUUGUGGGUGAAGCUUUGGAGGUGAAGCUUUUCGGGUGAAGCUUUUUGGAUGAAGCUGUUUUUUUUUUUUUUUUUUUUUUUUUUUUUUUUUUGGCGCUUGACACGGUCUUCAUUUGCUUGUUUUGUAGUGACUGUGGAAGACGGAUUGCUUUCUGAUUGAGAAGGGUUCCGGCAUCGCUUGCUAUGAAUGUAAAAGAGUGAGGGCUGAGUUGGCUAAAUUACCUCUUUAUUGAAUUCAUUGCCAAAUGGCCUUCAUUACAUAGGAUGCCGAACGGCUAUAGCUCAACACUUGUACAUCGUGAGUCUAUUUGUAGUAGUACUUCAAGUGAUCAGCGUUCCAUGGAUGGCCAAGGGUCUUGCCAUCGGAGCUUCUAAGUGUGUAAGAGCCAGGGCGACUGAUGCCAAUGACUUCAUACGGUCCAUCCCAGUUUGGACUAAGUGUGCCUUCACUCGGGACUCUGUCGCAGAGUAAUCUUUUCUUUAAGACCCAGUCUCCUAUUUUGAAAGAACGAGGCUUGACCCUAGAGUCAUAAUAGUUGGAGAUGCGCUGCUUGUAGGCGACAUUCCUCAAGUGAGCUUGGUUUCUGUGUUCCUCGACUAAAUCCAAGUUGAGGGUGAGUUGUUUGUCAUUUUCACUUUGAAUGUAGUUCUGGACUCGGAAUGUUGCUUGCUCGAGCUCAACAGGGACAACCGCCUCUGUGCCAAAGGCAAGUGAGAAUGGAGUUUCUCCUGUUGAAGUCCGAUAUGAAGUGCGAUAUGACCAAAGAACUUGGGGUACAAAUUCUGGCCAACAGCCUUUAGCUUUGUCCAAGCUGGUUUUCAAAGUGCGCUUGAUUAUUUUGUUGAUGGCCUCAACUUGUCCAUUAGACUGGGGAUGAGCUGGAGAGGCAAAGCAUAAGUUGAUGUUGAACUUAGAGCAGAACAACCUGAACCUCUUGUUGUCAAACUGUCGCCCAUUGUCAGUGACUAUCGCAUUGGGAAUGCCGAAUCUACAAAGGAUGUUCUUCCACACGAAGUCUUCUAUCUUUGCCUCAGUAAUGGUUGCCAAGGGUUCUACUUUGGCCCACUUUGUGAAGUAGUCCACUGCAACGACUGCGUAACAGACUUUUGCCCUUCCCUGCCGGCAUUGGGCCGAUCAAAUCAAGUCCCCACUGGGCGAAGGGCCAAGGGCUGAUCAUAGGAGUAAGAGGCUCUGGAGGGGAAUGAGGAAUAGUCGCAUAUCGUUGACAUUUGUCACAUGAGCGGGAUACUUUGAUGGCAUCCUGGUGGAGUGUUGGCCAGUAAUAUCCUUGGCGAAAAGUCUUGUGUGCUAGGGACCGAGAUCCAGCAUGAUCUCCACAGACUCCCUCAUGUAUUUCCCGAAGGACGAUUUCCGCCUCGGCAGGCGUAAGACACCUUAAGUAUGGCAGGCUAAAACCUCGCUUAUAGAGUUGAUCAUUGAUGAUCAGGUAGCGGGUAGACUUGUAUCGAAUUUGCUUAGCCUGGACUUUAUCAUUUGGGAGGGUGCCAUGAGCAAGGAAAUUAUAGAUCAGGGUGAUCCAACUAUCCCCCUGUUGUAAGUUGCAUACUUCUGCGGCCAUGGUGCUUGGUGUUGCCAAACAGUUCGACAUGAAUUUUUCUUCCAAUCUUGUCUUCCACAGCCGAGGCGAGGCGAGCCAGGGCGUCUGCAUGACUGUUUGCCGCUCGAGGAACUUGGGUGAUCUGGUAGUGGAAGUGUUUGAGCAAAAGUUGUGUUUGCGCAAGAUAUGCUGCCAUGGAGCUGUCCUUAGCAUCAAAGUUGUUGGUAACCUGGUUGACCACCAAUUGGGAGUCACUGAAAAUAUCAAUUUGUUUAACCCCGAGGUGUUUGGCCAAACGUAAUCCUGCUAGAAGGGCUUCAUACUCGGCCUCAUUAUUUGAUGCCUUGAAUUUGAAACGAAGAGCAUACUCCAUUGCUACUUUGUCGGGUGUAGUCAAGACUAGUCCCGCUCCACAGCCCUGUUGGUUGGAUGAGCCAUCAACAUACAGACUCCAUGCUGGGGUUGUUGGUUCUAUCUUCUGAGCUUCCGGGGGUAAUGAAGCCACUGCUUCAGGUGUAGAAGCAAUGUCAACCGGAUAUGUGAAGUCGGCAAUGAAGUCUGCCACUGCUUGGCCCUUCUCAGCUGGCUUUGGUUGGUAGGAGAUGUCAAACUCACCCAACGCUAUUGCCCAUUUGAUCAUUCGCCCUGAAGUGUCAGGACUUUGGAGUAUCUGUCGAAGAGGAUAAUUGGUAAGCACGAUGAUGGAGUGCGCUUGGAAGUAAGGGCGGAGUUUUCGAGCAGACAUGACCAAUGCCAGAGCCAAUUUCUCAAUGUUGGGACUACUGUUUAUACCAUAUUUAGGGCCUCGUAUAUUUGGGCCUUGGGCCUUAUAUUUAGGCCUCACACUAAAGCCCAUACUUUGUAAAAGAGGAGGAGCCCCUUAUUCUAUAAAAGGGGACUCCUACCCUCAUUCUAGAAAAAAAAGAGCCAAGCCUAAGAAGGCUAAGAGAAGCUCUCAUUACAUUCAGGAGAGACCUCACACCACCGAGGCUCUCAUCUCCCUUCUCUUCUUUCUCUGGGGGACUUCCCCCAAACACUUGUAUCCAUACACUUACAGAGAAACAGAAUCAACUACAGUGUGGACGUAGCCCAAACAUUGGGGUGAACCACGAUAAAAUCCUUGUGUUCUUCGUGUUCUUGAGCGUUUGUGCAGAUUCACGGUCGGAUUUACGUUGUUCCAAGACCAUCCGGUUUUGUGCAUCAACAUUUGGCGCCGUCUGUGGGAAUCGACACGAAAAGCUGUGUCGGUUUCUCUCUCAUUUUUUCACCUCCGCCGUGGAUUUGCAAAAUUCGCAGAAACCAAGAAUCCAAAACUUCCAUUGAAGUGUUUGCUUUUCUUCAAGUUCUUGACAUCAGUAGCAAUUGGGGUGCUUUUAUUCAGUGUCCUGUUUCUUAUGCUGCGCCACAACAUGAAAAGUCUCCAUUACCAAAGAUUCAGUGAGUCAACAAGUAUAACUCAGCCGAGUCAGUCCAAUUUUCAGAGCAAACGACUAGAUCCACUUCUACAACCCAGCCCCAAGGCUCAAAAUGCUCAAAGAUUACAAAUUUACGGUAAUAAUCGCAUGGAAAGUCAGUCCAAUCGAAGACCCAGAACCACUGACACUCACACAGAGAACCACCACGCAGUCAAUGGCGGACGACGAGCAGGCGACGGCGAUCACCAGUAGGCGACGGAAUCGAGGACCAGAGGCGUCGACCCGUGCCGGAGCCCUCGAAUGCCUCAAAACUCUCUGUCAUGGCGGUCGCCGAUCUGAAACUGGCGGGUUUCCAAAUGGAGGACCGAAUCUGCGACACUGUCGGAGACGACGAGUACGACGCAGUCGUUGCCAAACGACGGGAAGAGGUCCGAGGCUCCAUCGUAGACGACAACGGCCUAGGGUACUGCGAUGAGAGCGAGGAAGAAUGACAUUUCGGGGAUUGGGAAGGCGUUGUAUCAGAAUUUCUCGAAGAAGAAGCAGCGCCUCUAGGUUGUUUCAGUGCUCAAUUUAGUUGGUCAGAAGGAGGGUCCACCGUCGAUCGGAGAGGAGCCUGAGCCCAAGAGCGAGAGCAAUGUCAGUAGGCUCUUGGCAAAGCUGGGGAGGAUCAUGUACAUAUGAUUGUAUCGGAGGAGCAGGGGUGUCAGGAUGCUACACACCAAAACGGCGUCGUCCGUUUCCAGCUUCAAUGGCGGUGAAGUACGAGUGCUGCACCAGUAGAUUCUUCAUUCACAUAGUGGUCAUCAUACUACUAAUGCUGCUCACGGUGCUAAUGUCCGAGCUCACCUUGGGCCUCAUGUCCAUGAGCCUCGUCGAUCUCGAAGUCCUCGCCAAGUUUGGGAUGCCGAAGGAUCACAGGCACGCCUCGCAUCCAGCACCACCGAAGGGCAAGUAACAAUGGUUGAUCAGGUUCAACAUCCCUCUGUCAUCCAUAAGGUCGCGGUUCAGUCCGUCGUUUCCAAUAUCUCCGUUCUUGAGCAGCUCAAGACUUUUGCAGAUGACAGAAUGAUGAACUUGACACUGAGAUAAGAUUCCUCCUUUUUUAUUUUACUUUGUCAUCAUUACGUGUCCCACCCAUGAACAGGACUCCAUUUCUGUUGUCAUCAUUACGUGUCCGACCUCCAAGCAUUUUAUGAUCUUUCUGAUGUUUUCCCUAAUAUGGGAGUAUGAGUAAGAUAUUUUGCUGUCUGGUAAAGUUUUGAAGGAGCAAGGUAACACCACCGACAACGAAAAUGGUGAGAACGUGCUAGAGUCGGAGGACCCCAUAAUCAAGAAAAGCAGAAAAGCAGUGGGGAACAAAGCAGAAAAGAGAAAGCAAAAAACAAAAGCAGAAAGCAAAAGAGAAAAACAAAAGAUUUUUCUAUUAUUAUGAUUUCUUCUGUCUACCAGGUGAAGAUAUAGAGAGAGGGCAGCAGAAAAACACUGCAAAAGCAAGGAAUAAACACCUCACCCGAAUGAUGUAAUUUAUUUUUAUCUUUUGGAGACAUCUGUAUAAACCCCAUCAGAGGGUAAUAUGUAUAAACCCCAUCAGAGGGUCAAAAAAAAAAAAAAAAAAAAAAGGAAAAGCCCAAAACAAAUGGGCUGACAUGUUGUGGAGGGCAAAGGCCCAUAGGCCUGAAAUAGCACCAACCAGGUCAUCAAAAGUACGCCCAGUACUCCGCAAUUAUUCGGCAACCCGCCGUUAUUACCACCAACCAGGUGAUCAAAAGUACCCCCAGUACUCCACAAUUAUUCGGCAACUCGCCGCUAUUACCACCAACCAGGUGAUCAAAAGUACGCCCAGUACUUCAAGUCAUACAUGAGCAUUACUCAUGUCAAUCAUACAUAAACAUUCAUGAGCAUCACUCAUCCAAUCAUACAUAAACAUUCAUGAGCAUCACUCAUGUCAACAUUCAUGAGCAUCACUCAUGUCAACAUCCAUGAGCAUCACUCAUGUCAAUCAACAUAAACAUCCAUAAGCAUCACUCAUGUCAACAUCCAUGAGCAUCACUCAUGUCAAUCAACAUAAACAUGCAUGAGCAUCACUCAUGUCAAAUCAGCUUCAAAGACUUCAUUUACAGAGCUCUAGCUUCAAAAGCUUCAUUCACAAGAGCUCUAGCUUCAAAAGCUUCAUUUACAGAGCUCUAGCUUCAAAAGCUUCAUUUACAAGAGCUCUAGCUUCAAAAGCUUCAUUUACAAGAGCUCUAGCUUCAAAGACUUCAUUUACAGAGCUCUAGCUUCGAAAGCUUCAUUUACAAAAGCUCUAGCUUUCAAAGACUUCAUUUACAGAGCUCUAGCUUCAAAAGCUUCAUUUACAAAAGCUCUAGCUUUAAAAGCUUCAUUUACAGAGCUCUAGCUUAAAAGCUUCACUUGCAAAGCUUCACCUACAAAGCUUCACCUACAAAGCUUCAGUGCAGGGUAUACAAAUACCGCCUCCGAACAACCGCCACUUCGGCCCAUACAUGGAUUCAAUUUGAAGUCUCCAGCCAACAGACUCUAUUGACCGAAGACUUGGGGGACUACAUUAUGUACCAUAUAUUGGGCCUCAACUGGGCCUCAUGAAAAAUACUUGGGGGACUCUAGCCCAUUAUUUAUGUAUUAAGGAGCGAACCCUUAUUCUAUAAAAGGGACUCCCUCACUUUCAUUGAAAGAUCACCCAUGAUUUAUGUAUUGAGGAGCGAGCCCUUAUUCUAUAAAAGGGACUCCCUCACCACCAUUAGAGAGCAUCGCCGCCUACUGAGCAACUGUCUCACUGCGAGCAUCAACUCUAGCCCAUCACUUAUGUAUUGAGGAGCGAGCCCUUAUUCUAUAAAAGGGACUCCCUCACCUUCAAUGCCACAAGCCGAGCCAACCAAGGCAACAUAAGCUACAAGCAGAGCGACCUCGCAACAUGUGCUACUUCUAGUUGAGCAUCAUUUCAGAUUGGGCACCGCCUCAUAUCAAGCAUUAGUUCUAGAAGACAUCUAGUUACUUCGGCCCACAUAUGGACUGAAUUUCAAGUCUCCAGCCAAAAGACUCUCUUGACUGAAGACUUGGGGGACUACUGUUUAUACCAUAUUUAGGGCCUCGUAUAUUUGGGCCUUGGGCCUUAUAUUUAGGCCUCACACUAAAGCCCAUACUUUGUAAAAGAGGAGGAGCCCCUUAUUCUAUAAAAGGGGACUCCUACCCUCAUUCUAGAAAAAAAAGAGCCAAGCCUAAGAAGGCUAAGAGAAGCUCUCAUUACAUUCAGGAGAGACCUCACACCACCGAGGCUCUCCUCUCCCUUCUCUUCUUUCUCUGGGGGACUUCCCCCAAACACUUGUAUCCAUACACUUACAGAGAAACAGAAUCAACUACAGUGUGGACGUAGCCCAAACAUUGGGGUGAACCACGAUAAAAUCCUUGUGUUCUUCUUGUUCUUGAGCGUUUGUGCAGAUUCACGGUCGGAUUUACGUUGUUCCAAGACCAUAAAUGUUGAUGCACAAAAUCAGCGAAGACUUUGGUACAACAGAAAGUGUCAGGUUUUAUGACCUUCGCUUGGUUGCUUCGGUCACUAGUGAGGAUAAGUACGUAAAUGAACAGAGACAGAGAAGCAAACACAGGAUGUACGUGGUUCACCCAGAUUGGCUACGUCCACGGAGUAGAGGAGUUCUUAUUAGUAGUGAAAGGCUUACACAAGUACAAAGGAUCAAGCUCUCAAUUUAGUGAGUUCUUGUGAAUGAUUUAACACAAAUGGCAUUAGGCCAUAUUAUGGGGGAAUGACCCCUAUUUAUAGAAAAACUUGUAGCUUUGUCACAUUGACAUGUGUCAUGUUAUGAUUGGUUCUUGAUGUUGACACGUGCUGCGCUCUGAUUGGCUUCUAAUCUUGACACGUGUCGAGUAGUGAUUGGCCUCCUGGUCGGAGGGGAACUCUUCUGGGUCCUUGACAGUAUAGCGUUGGCCGGUGCUCGGUAGUUUCGGGAUUGGUCAAGUAUGGUACAAACAGUUUCAAUAAAAAUUUCCAAGUUUUUCUUACAAUUUCCGUGGUUUUUAUUCAAUUUUUAUCUAUAUCGAUAAUAUCUCAAUAUUUCCAUUGAAAUUUCUGUGUUUUUGGACUACCGAUAUUUCCGAUAUCAUCGAUAUUUUAUACCUUGCUUACGUUUCAAAAAUAGUUUGGCUCUUGAAUAUGCCCAACAUUUUGAAAUUUUUUUACAACAUACUCUAUGUGUUUAUUAGAUUGUAUUUAUUUUAUCAAGAAGUUAAUCAACGUAAAUAAUUUGAAACCUUAAUACGUUUGUAUAAAAUAUAUUGAGAUUAUUAAAAAUUUGAGAUGUACAUCCCAAUUUCGAUCCAUAUUAUUUUAGAAUUUUGAAUGUCAAAUUUCAUUCGAGUGCACCAAAAUUGAAAGUUUUUGUUACCAACUUGGUCAAAACUGAUCAAAAUCGAAAUUUCCAAUCCACCUUCCACCUGUUCCAAUAAUCUAUUGGCUUGGACUUUCAAGCCCAACACCAAUGUAUGUUGACCCAACGUAACUUUAGGAGAAGAAAAUGCCCUCCAUUCCAAAAGCCCUUCCGGUCAAACACGGUGGAUACUGGAUACGCAGGUUCAAACACGAACGGGCUUUUCCUCCUCGCCGAGUCCCUCCUCGGACCUCAGUCAAUGGCAGUCUCUCUGAGAAGACUUGCAGCGGCAUUCGGCUACUCGCCACAUCUUCAAUGCGUUCAAAGCUUGUUUCCGUUGCGCUUUGGAAAUAGUUAGAGUUCCUCUGUGUCGUAUGGUAUGCCCUGAACGUGCUUGUGAAAAUGUCUCUGAGACAACACCUGUCUUGUCACUAACCAUUUCUGCACCUGCUCUGUAUUUCAAGAUCAGAGGACGGUGCUCCGACCUUUCAUCCAGAAUUCCAACAAUGGCAUAACGGAGGUGGGUCUUUCCACAAGUCUGCCUGCAUUGACCCAACAGUGUUCAUAGAGUUUGGUGCUGUAGUUCAUUCAAAAUCCGUUGUUGGCGAGCAUGCUCGUAUUGGUUCUGGAGCUGUCAUUGGAACUUCGGUCGCUAUUGGCAAUCAACCAAAAUUGGGUGACGAUCAAAUUUUUAACUCGACAUUGCGACUCCACUAAACUGUGAUAGCACUUCUGCCAUUGCAAUCACUAAGAACCCUAUUUUUCACCAGAAGACUAAACACGUCAACAGGAGAUAUCAUUUUAUCGAGGAGGCUUUGCGGAAUGAGAUCAUUGACUUGGUGUACUGUUCAACCAAAGAACAGGUAGCUGAUAUAUUCACAAAGGCUCUUACCAAAGAUCAAUUCCGUCAUCUCAGAGAGCUAUUGGGAGUGAAAUCAGUUCACAAUUUAGGGGGAGUGUUGAUGUGUAAAUUGAUGAACUGAUAUGAAGAAGAUUACAAGUUUUGUGUAGUGUAAUGCUUCAGCUCAUAGGCUAAGCUUAUGUUUUUUUGUUUUUUUGUUUUUAUUGGAGAGUUUCGAAUUCUAGACUUAACAUACUCUUACACAUCACAUUACUCACACCCUCAACUUUUCUUUUGGCACUUUUUCAUUUCAUUCAUCUUCGAAUUAAAUGAAACGUUUUUUUUUAUUUUUUGGUUGCUACAGGUCCUGACUAAGCCUGGCAUUUUGGACCCAACCGGUUAACCCGACUUGACCCAACCCAUUAAUAUUUAUAUUUGGAUGAAUGUAUAACGGGUCAGGUCGCUAACGGGUGAACCAGUUAACAACCCGUUAAUAACGGGUCACUUUGGGUCAACCCGUUAGACCCGUUAUGACCCGUUAGACCCGUUAUGACCCGUUAGCACCCGUUAGUUGAGGAUAUUUUAGUAAUUUUAGUAAAGUCUUAAUAACAAAAAAUAAAUUUUAUGCAAAAAUAAUAAUAAUUGUUAACGGGUGAAACGGGUUGAGUUCGAUGACCCGUUAGCUUAACGGGUUGGAUUCGGGUGACCCAUUAACUUAACGGGUCGGGUUCAAUCCGAUCCAAACCCAAUAAACCCGACCCGCUUACAGGUCUAGUCCUGACUAUAACUAUCUUCAACUACAAGAGAAACCCAGUUAGGUUCGUUAACCUAAGGCCUCAUUUGGUUCACGUAAUGAAAGUGAAAGGAAAACGAAUCUGGUGUUUUUUUUCCUGCCUUCUAUGUUAAAAUUGCUUGGGAAGUUGGACAAAUAGCCUUCUUUUUAAAAUAAUAUGGCACAAGGUAAACGAAGAGAGCAAAGAAGAAUUAACACACAAGGUACGUUUUCUGAAUUCCUUGAUGAUCCUGAGGAUCUUAACUCACUGGGGUUAUUAAGUUUUUGUUUUUAUUUCAGCAAUAUAUAUAGCCACUCCAGAGCUAGGAUCAAACCACUUUUGAGCCCCCUCAAGCAGUACUCGAACCAGCCUCGAGGAAGCAAAAUGAAAUUCCAGUCAGAGUUAGUUCACCUCGGCGAAAUGAUGGAAAGAGUGAGCCCAUUUGAAGCAGGAUCAGUUGUAGACUCACUGAUUGGAGCAACUCUUCGUACAGCAAAUAUUGCCGGUUGCUUUGGUUCAGGAAGAUCUAUCGAUUCACUUCCCAGCAAUACAACCACAGUUGACAUUGUAGGUCUCUCUGCAGGGUCUUCCUGGACACACAAAAGACCAAUAUGCAUGCACUUCAAAACCUCAGCUGUUGGGCAAGUUUCCAUCAACAAGGGCUCAAUAAAUUCCAACUGUUUUCCGUCCUUCCAUAGCCUCCAUGCCUGUCAAUUAUUUAAACCGAAAAAUAUUUUAAUUCCACACAAAUUAAGAUAAGUAAUCAAAGUGGACAAAGAAACAUACAUAUGCAAGGAGUGUCUUGGCAUGUUCUGUGAGAUAGAACCCACUAUUCCUUUUCCCACUAAUAAUCUCUAGCAAGAUUACACCAAAGCUGAAGACAUUUGACCGAGAAUAGACCCUCCAUUGCGUACUCUGGAGCCAUAUAACCGCUGUUUCAAGAAUCAAGUAUAAGCAUUAGCAUGUUCUAAAGAUAAAUAUGGGAGCUGUAAGAAGCAAACUCACAUUGUUCCUACAACUCUUUUAGUGUUAGCUGUGUUCUGGCUCUCACAAAAUAUCCGUGCCAUGCCAAAGUCUGAUAUUUUGGCAACCAUUUCAUAGUCCAACAGUACAUUGCUAGGCUUUAAAUCCCUGUGAAUGAUUCUAAGCCGCGAGUCCUCAUGAAGAUACAGAAGCCCUCUAGCAAUGCCUUCAAUAAUGUUGUAAUAAAUCUUCCAAUUGAGUUCAGAUCGUCUUUCUAAAUCUGAAAAUUCGGUACAAUUUAUCAUGUGCAAUGUUCGUAUGAUGUAUGAAAGUAAAAGUAAAAGAACAUUAUAGCAGAAGAGUAAGAUGAACAAACCAAAGAUAAAAACAUCAAGGCUUUUAUUUGGCAUGAACUCGUACAAAAGCAGCUUUUCCUCUCCCUCAAAGCUGCACGCCAAGAGCCGCACCAGGUUUUUGUGUUGAAGUUUUGCAAUGGUUACCACCUCAUUUUUUAACUCCUCUAAACCUUGCCAUGACUUCUUCGACAGUCUUUUGACGGCAACUUCUUUCCCAUCUGGUAGCAAUCCCUGAAAGAAUAUUGACAAAAUCAAAUGACAUACAUUUUUCGGCCUAUAAUUGAAUCAAUACUAUUGUAUAAUUAAGCCUACUUAGAACCAUAAUACAUAAUAUCAUUACCUUGUAAACAGUACCAAACCCACCUUGUCCAAGCUUGUUUAAAUCCGAAAAGUCAUUCGUAGCUAUCUUUAUAGCAGCUAGAUCCAUGAAGGCCAGCUCUUCAGAAAUUAUGAACAUCCCUUCUUCUGAGAUUGUGAUUCCAGUGGGGCUUGCCAAAUCUUGUAAUAGUACAUGCUCGUUUUUUCCUUCAUCUGCCAAAAAAAAAAAAAAAAAACAUAAGUAAAACUUACAAGGUAAUCCUACAAACUUCAGAAUAAGUUUUUAGUUUUGAUAUAUGUACCCUUGACAUCCCCUGAUCCCUUUUUGCGCCGGAGAUGGACAGCACAAAAUACAAUGGCUGCUAACAGUAUGAUGGAUGCAGAAACAAGUAUAACUGCCUUCCCACUCUUCAAUCUGUCCCCUGCUUUUUAAUAGGACGAACUUCCUUGAGCUACAAUUUACUAUGAAAAAUGUGCAUGCACUGAUGACUAAUUCACAAAAGAAAACUUUCAAGUCACUAACCUUUGGAAUGUGGAUGGAUUACCAAAGAAUUUGACGCGUCGUUAAAAAGGGGGAACAGCUCAAACCUCACAUUGCAAUUCCUACUAACAACAGUUCCACCUUGUUUAGAAGAGCAACAUCCCAGAAGAUCUGUGCUAGCAAAAUUCAAACAGCUAUGGCAGUCACUUGCAGAAAUGUCUCUAGUACACUGCUGUAAGCCAUAAAUUGUAUCCUUUCCUGAAAAUUUAAUUUUCCCAGUUGCAAACAUAUUCUUGGAGGGACUAAACGCGGCUGCUUCAGAGAGGUUUAUCAUUAAAGAGUUCAAUACAUCAUUGAAAUCGUGUGGAGUUGAUAUGUUCUUCUCCUGAUUAUUCUUGUCCGGAUACUUUCCGGUGUAAACCAUUAGUUGAAAGAACAUCUGGUAAGAAUAUUGAACUUGACAUAGCUCGUACCAAAUCAUUGCAUCUGUUGUUUUGCACCUCUUGAAGAUUUCCUUGCUUGCUUCAUCAACACAGUUUUGACAAACUGUGGAGUUAACAUCCCAUCUACAAAGUGCUUGUCCAUAGACUAUGUCCCGUCCAUCUCCAAUCGUAUCGUUAUAGAAACCUCCUUUGAUCGAAGUGUUGGAAGAUAACGACUCAAGUAGCCGCUCGAGAUUGCUUUCAAAUUGGCUCUUUCUGUCACCACCUGAACAAAAACUUGUAAGGGGAUCAGUAGCAGAAAGGGCAGCUGGCAUCAACAGCGGAAUAAUUGCAAAAAGCAUUACAGGAAGUUUAUCUUUAUCCAUUUUCUAGAAAGGGCUCACAGUGAACACGGAAUUAGGCCAAUGGCAAGAAACAAUUUGAUGAUUUAUUUUGGUAACUUUUCAGUUUUGACAUCGAAGUUCCAGCUACUAAUUUUCAUCUGGUUAACCGUUGAUUACACCACAGAAACUUCCUUGCUGAUCGAAGACGCAAGCCGGCUGAAUAAAGUCAUGAUCUGCAGAUUGAUAGAGACCAGGAAUAGCACAUGGUAUUCAAAUGAUAUGAUUAACUGUUGACUAAACAAAGACUUUGCAGCUUAGUCGCAUAUAAGGCAUGCUUAAAAUACUUAUAUUAAAAUGUGACCAUCUUAGAGUUCAUGUAUCUAGAGUCUAUUUAGUGUAAGUCUAACUAUUUGUUUGACGGACCUGGAUUGUCUACCCUCACCAUCCUAUACUCUUCUCAUCCUCUCCUAUUUAUGUGGUCACGGUUAAACCACAUUAACAUUUUAUAUUCCCAUUGUUUUUUGUCUUAUUAUUUCUAUAAAAAAUAAUCAAUAUAAAAUGUUGACGUGGCUUAACAGUGACCACAUAAAUAGAAGGGGAUGGGAAGGGGAUGAGAUGGGGGAGGGCAGACAAUCCAGGUCCUUAUUUGACCAUUCUACUUAAAAGGAGCAGUCAUGAAAGUACUAGUAAUUUAGUAUAAGGUGUUUGGACUUUAGCAUAGAACUAGAAAAUUGUGCAUGCACGUUGUUGCGGGAGUGAAAAUCCAACUAUAGAACAUGUUCUAAAAAUAUAUAACUCCCAAAAUAUAAAUGCAUAGAAAUCCAAACUAAUACUAUUUACACAAAGAUAAUGAAGGCUGUAUAGAUAAUGUAGCAAAUAUUUUUUACAGGCUAGUGUCUAGAUUUAUACAUUUUAUACAAAAAAAAAAACAAAACAUUAGCAAACACUUUGUCAUUGACAUACACAAAUGGUUAAUAUGAUAUUCCCCCUAGGCAGUCAUCCUAGUUCUUGAUUCACAUCAGUAGUUGCAGAUAAAAGAUUUGAAAACAUUAGAUUGUCCUUGUACACAAAAAAAUUGGGGAACUAAUCUUACAAUGGCCUAUUCACAUGCAAAAAAUAUGGAGAAGCAUUGUUCUAGUUUGAACAACAGAUGAUAACAUUGUACGUUUGUAAUCGAUCCCAUUCCAGCAAUAAGAAAAGAAAAUAUUUUUGUAAUCGGAAGAAACUCGGUGCUAAUAGUAAGAAAAACUUUUAGACUAAUUUUCUAAAAGCUUGUUGCUUCCUCUAAAUGUUUUUCAAACUAUUAGCAGCAAGUUUCUUCUGAUAACAAAAAUAUUUUCUUUUCUUAUUGCUGGAAUGGGAUUGAUUACAAACGUACAUAGACAUCUCUUUUAUAGAGAUUUUACACAACAACAUAAAACAUAGGUGUUCAAAAGUCUUUACUUUCACACAUAGCUUUAGACUUUUACAUACACAUUUGAACUUUUACAUACACCAUUAGACUUUUUUUUACACAUAAUUAAAGUAAUCCCAGAGAAGAAAAUGGACUUGGAUUGUCUGCCCUUUAAUUUAUGUGCCCUCCUCGUGCCCUCCUGUUUUUGUGAUCACAGUUAAGCCACGUCAACAUUUUAUAUUACUAUUUUUUUUUGUUUUAUUAUUUUUAUAAAAAAAAUUAAUAUAAAAUAUUGACAUGGAUUAACCGUGACCACACAAAACAAGAGGGCACAGGGAAGACACCUAAAUGGGGAGGGCUGACAAUCCAAGUCCGAAGAAAAUACCAAGGAUGCCUGCAUCAUUAAAGUAAUCCCAAAGAAGAAAAUUAAAGUAGCUUUAUUAUGUGCUAUUAAUGAUGUAGUGGGUGGGAGCUGGUGACUUUGUUUAUGGGGUGUGAUAUCCACAUCCUAUUUUUUACUUCUCAUACAUUCUUACAAUUUUUGACAGUCGGAUCAGAUGAAUUGAAGAAGAUUAACGAACAGAAAUUAACAAAGGUUGUAUGAGAAAUAAAAAUGGGUGUGUAGAUAGCACAACCCUUGUUUUUAUGCAGACAAAACUUAACAACAAAAAAAAAAAACUUAAUUAAGACUUGACGGCUAAAAGUUAACGAUAUAGUGGGAGCUGAUGUAGAAACAUUGUUCAACUUUCAGUUUUAUCACUUCCUGGAAUCAAAUAGUGUAGAUGCACUGUGAAAGCAUGCUGGUUUAUUUGUUAAUUAUUGAGAAGUUCAGGAUAACAUAUCAACGUGAAACACGUUUGGAUGAUUUGUUAAUUAUUUGAGGAGCUCGGGUAACCCACCAACGUGAGAGAUUUUUCAGUGUGAUCGUCACACGAGAUAAUACAUCAUAUAUUCCUAUAUAAACAGUGGAUUAUGUGUGUUAAAAGAUUAAUAACUUAAAAAUUAAAAUUUUCUACGACUUGCAUAAAAACACGUGCUCCACCAAGUGGAAAAUGAAGCACAGGUAUUGAUCACGUUGGAACAGCUGGCUGCCAUUUUGUAUUUUUCUGGGUUAGGGGGAUGUCUAGGAUUUGGACAAAAGUUAUAAAUCUCUUUUGGACUACUUAGCCAUUUUAAUCACUUUCCUUUCUUUGUUUAUGGCCUUUUCCUGGGGCUAGACUGCUUUUUAGCCUCCUUUGUUUUACGUCCCAUGGUAAUUCAACUUAAAUGGUAAAGAGAGAGGAUUGAUAAAAAGAAAAAGGAAAGAAACCAAACCUUUAACCAUGACAUAUAACAAAUAGAUUAACCCAUGCACAAAAAGUCAAUAAAUUCAGUAAAAACUGAAGGCAAAGAGUAAAUUCAAACAAUUGAGAAACAUACAUGAGGCAACACAUGGAGAAAAAGUGAAAAUAAUUGAGUAAAAAUGAAAGGAAAAAAUAAAUGCAAACAAUUGAAUAAUAUAUAUAUAUAUACACAACAGCCAGAAGCAUGCAGAGAGAAGCGGUAAAAAUCCCAAAUUGUGGCGAUGGAAUUUGUUGCGAGAUUGAAGGAAUUUCGCUGAGAAUUGUUCCUCUGAAAACUGCUCCAGUUUGGCUGAGUUUGAGCGUUGUGGGCUUGCAACUGAGAAACAUUUGGUGUAGGUAGCAGUGGAGGAUUAUUAGAGGCCUGGAUGGAAUUGAAGGCUUGAUAUGGUUCUUGAGAGGAAGAGCCACUUAUUUGAUUAUCUUGAAAACCCACCUGAUCCUUCUCACAAUCCAAAAUCUAAAUAACCACUUAAAAUCCAUAAAAUUACAAUGAAAUCAAUACCAGAAUGCACCAAACAGUUAAAAAAAUUGCAGUAAAGGCAAGGAUGAAUUCAACAGCCCAAAUAAGCAAAAAGAUUCAUACCUCAAUUGAAUUUUGAACUUGAUUCUCGCUUAAAAAUCUUAAAUCUACAAAACCAAAUUAGUAUUAUUAAUAAUAAAGUAACACGAUAAUGAAGCAAACAACAUUGAAAAAUAGAAUCUAGUAAAGGUAAAGAUCAAUUCAACAAUCUAAAUAAGCAGAAGCAUUCAUACCUGAACUGAAUUUGCAGGUUGAUUUUGUCGCUUAAAAAUUCUGAUCUACAAAACCAAAUCAAUUUUAUUAAGAUUUGAUAUGAAAAACAAAUCUAUAAUACAGGCUUUAAAAUAAUACAAAGAAAGAAACAGUACCACACCAAACAAUUUCAUCGACGCCAUCCCUCAUGACUUGCCAAAAUAAAAAAUUUCAAAACAGAUUGAAAGCAACAUUAAACUUUAAAGGCUGCACACAAAACCCUCAAAAAUAACUAUUUCCUCCAAAUGAAAAGACAAUCAAAUUAUCUAAUUAUACCUAGGAUCUAAACACAGAAACAAAACCCUCUAAAUAAAUAAAUAAAUGUUAUCCUUUUUCACCUAUAAAACACACCUCUAACUCCAACCAAUGACGCCACAGCCAUCUUUCUCUCACUAACAAUUAUAAAACACACCUCAAUUAAAUAAGAUCAGUUCCGCAGUGAUCUGAAGACAUGUUGCGACGAAAGGGGUGGAAAUUAGCCAAAAUUCAGGCCAGAACCAGGAAAGCCCAGACGGAAUAAAGCACAAACAGUGUGAAUAGAUCAAUGUUUUAAAAGGCUCGUCUCAGGGCGCGCCUAAGCGCCCUGUGAGGCUGGGCUUAAGGGUUGCCACCUCUGUUUUGAGGGAGUGGGCGGAAGGCGCCGUCGGAGUUGCCUAGGCACGCCUUAGGGGAUUUUUUUUUUUACUCCCAAACCCAAAUUUUAGGUAGGAUUUUAACUGCCUCAUACCUCUUCCUUGCACUAUCGUCUCUCUACCUUUUUUUUCUGAUUUUUAUUUUUUUAUAUAAUGGAUGUGUGUGCUGUCUGCGUGCAUUGUUAUAUGUGUGCUCAUUGUGCUUUUCAUCCUCUAUUUUAUAUAUACAUAUAUAUAUAAUAUAUAUGUAUAUAUAUGUGCGUGUAUAUGUAUUUAUAAUAUAUGUGUGUGCUUAGGGUGAUUAUUGAUUAAUAAUCUUCUUUUUUUAAUAUAAUAUAUGUGUUCACUUAGUGUAUAUGUUAAAAAAUUUAGGUCCCGUGAGGCUUCGUCUCAUGCCUAGGCUGGGCUAUCCCUCGAACGCCUCGCCCAUGCCUCACGGUUUUAAUAUUGGAAUAAAUGUAGAACGGACGUAGAAGCAGAUACUUUACAGCAACAAUUAACUUGUCCAGCGAUUUUAACGCAAGAAAUUUACACAGAUAAUUUGGAUGGAAAAGAUGAGAAGGAUGUGGAGAUGGAAAAUGCAGAGAACACAGGGUUUGAGAGAGACCAAGGCAGGCAGAAAAAGCCACGAAAAUAAAGAGAGAAACAAACCAAAUUGAAAACGGCACUGAAGAAAAAGUAAAACAGAUGAUUGACCUUGGAUCCGCAUCCACCUAUGAUGUAUGACUUAUAUGAGGAAAGUGACAUUCGCUUGUGGAGCUUCUGCUGAUCAACGAUGAUGAAAAUUAUUAUAUUCUUUUUAAUGCAAAUCAUUCAUAUACUCAUUCAUGAUCUUCGAAGCCAUUGGUUGAAAAUUUUACUGACAGUGACAGAAAGGCGGAAUGAAAAAAGGAAGACUUUUCUUUUGCUCAAGAAACAGAUCCUCAUCAGAAGAGGGAGAGAGAGGGGUUUGGUAUUUUGCCAAAUAUAUAAUAAUUAGUAGUAGAAAAUAAAAUAAAUAAAAUGGGGAAGGGAUAUUGGGAAGGAGAAAGAAGAUGUGGGUCUGAGUUUCUAAUGCCUCGAGAGUACAUGUAGGAAAACGACACUCCAACAAAGCAGGUCCCUCUCACUCUGCUUUAGUCAAUACUCGAACAGGAAAGGACAACGAUGAAGGACUCGUGCCCAGCGAGGGCAAAGGAGGACAAAAACAGAAAACCAAGAGCAAUUAAAGGGCAAUUCCGCUCUUUCACUGUUAAUGAACAGUGCUUUUUGUGUUGGGUUUUAGUAUAUGUAUAACUAGCAACGGUGCCCGUGCGAUGCUGCGGGUUUUUAAACAGCAUAAAACAUAUAGAAAGUUAUAUUUACAACUCUGCUUAACUCAAUCUAUUUACAACUCUGCCUAACUCAAGGAAUAGAUAAAAUUUUGUUUCUUACCUAAAUAUACGAAUUUGAAUUAAAUGUAUCAAAGAAGUAUAGAGUGGAGCAAACCUUGUAAUUUCUAUAAGGUGGGCAGCUGGAAUACCAAUAGUGAUAUAAUUUGACGGAAUCUGGCUAUAAUCCAGCUUGGUUGUUCUUUGUAAAUUUGUUGGAAAAUGUAGUAGUUGGCUUGAAAAUAACAAUCAAGAGCGUUGAACAAAUCAAACCUGAAUGAUAUCAAAUCCAAUCUUAAUUAUGUACCAAUGGUGAACUUAUAUUUCAAAGGCACCAUGAAGCAUAAAAGUUUAACCAAACAAUGAAAAUUGAAACGUAUAAAAGUUUAGUGAAACAAUCAAAACCCAGUUAGAAACCUCAAUGGUUGAGCUCACAAACUAUGCAAGUUUAUGUUGUAUUAAUUCAUGCACAUCAUUGCACUAAAACAACGGAAAAUGCUAAGAAAGGUUAGACAUACAUAGGAUUUUGAUGCUAAAAGCAGUACCUGAAAUGGGCAAAAAAGUUGGACAGUGCAAUGGACUUGAGAGCUUCUCCAUGAGAUAUAAGACACAUCAUUGUGGGCAAGAAAUUGGGAAUUUAGUGUUAUGGUUUGAGUGUAUGGAAACAAUAUAAAUUAGAAAUAGAAGGGGGGCAGCUUGAACACAUAUUGGAGGAGUUUUGACGCCAUCUUUUAUCAAAUAGGUGGUGGGCACUAAAAUAUUCAAUUUGACAUAGUCAAGCUCAUUUACAGUUGUUUAUCCACUAAGCAAAAGACACUGUGAAUGUAAAUGUUAUUUUUAAACACGAAUCAAAAGCGUGAAAUUAUACUCUUAAUAUAUUUUUGAAAUUUUAUUUCAUUAAGCUGUGUUACCCAAAUGAAGGAAUAAAUAUAGGAUCAGGAUGGCAGGAAACUGGUGCAUGUUCUCUACGAAGCUUUGCUAGUUCUCUGUUUUCCUCAAUUCAAUUAAGAGUUUAGACCCACUAAUUUAUCAGUAAAUAAAUAAACACAGUAAAAAACCUUAAAUUACCCAAUUAGAAUAAUGACAACAAUUGGACAAAACAAAAGAAACCGUAGAGAUUCAGCAGUUCAGUGUCUACAACCUCAAAAUUUUACUGAGUUUAUGCAACUAAAGGGGCAAUCAAAUUAUUAAAUUGUAAACAAAGUAUCCAAUUUCACGAAAAAAUAGUAUCUAAUAGCACAUUAGAUAGUAAACUUGGAAUUAACCACUGGAUUUUGCAAGACAGCAUUUAAGAUAGAUGUGUAAACAUGGAUACAAAUGCCUAUCUAAAUGGGUAAGGCAUGUGUGGUUGUUUUUGUGCAUUCAUAUGUUUAUCACAAAAGAUAACACAGGGCAAUAAAGUAUUUUGUCAAAUUGGAAAUUGUGAAUAUAAAUUUGUCUAAAAUUUGUGGAGUGAUUAAUCUGAAAAAAGUUGCCAUAUAAGAAUGGGAUAUAAUAUGUGCUAAAGAUGGAUCAGAUAUCUUUGGUUUGGUUUCUCUGCAAAAUAUAGAGAUGUAAUUUGAUCAAGCAUUUCAGAUGUCAUCAUUUUCAUCUUUUUUCUUCAGAGGAAUUGGUUGUUACCAAUAUAUAGAUAAAAACUUUCUUCUUUUCGCUUGCUCUAUAUACAUAAUCAAGUAUUCAACUGUUUAUUGAGAAGUUUAAGACGGAUAUCUAAAAGUAUGGAUACAAAUGCUCCAACCAAAGAUACACCUUCUCCAUAUGCUUUGAUUGAUCCAAAAAACAUCUUAGGAUUGGAAAAAUUGUUAAAUCCGGGUAAUGAGUGAUGGAAAUAGUACAUGGAUAGAUUUAACCAUUUCUGUAUCAUUAAGGUGUACUUUGGCUAAUUAAGGCAUGUGGAGAGGGUAUAUCUGUAGUAGAGACAAUUUUACUAAUACUUAUGUAUACCUAUCUGAAUUUGUUAAUGGUCAGGCAAACAAUUGGUCAUGUAUUGAGACCAAGCCAAAAGAAGAUAAUGAUUAUCUAUACUAGUAACAGCCAAUUCCCCUAAAAAAAACGUUACCAAAAAUCGAAUUUAAACGUCAAAUAUUGACAAAAGAAAACAAAUGAACCAUGAAGAAUAUGGGGAGGCUAGACAAAUAAUAAUGGUAGGGUAGAGGUGAGUCAUCUCACACUCACUUUUUGAACAAUUAUUAUUUUUUAAGCAGGAAUCUUAUCUCAAAAUCAAAAGUUAGAUAGACAAUUCACACAAAGACUUUUAAAAUCUCACACUCACUUUUUGAACAAUUAUUAUCUUUUAAGCAGGAAUCUUAUCUCAAAAUCAAAAGUUCGAUAGACAAUUCACACAAAGACUUUUAAAGUUGGGUGUCAUGGAAGAAACAAUUGUCGGAUUCUGAGUAAAGUGGAAUUCUUCAUCUUAAACUUUAAUCUCAUAAUUAUGUAAUUGUCAUUAUUUAUGCUUUUGAGAUGAGAAUAUGCUACACAAAUAAUAGUGGUAGGGUCGAAGUGAGUUUUCCCUCACUUAUUAUAGGUUCAUUGUUUGUUUGAUUCUUUUAACUAAAAAUAAGCACACAAUAAUUGCAUUUAUAAUUCUUGUCCCCCAAGUCCAUAUAACUCCUACAUAAGAAAUAUAUAUAUAUAUAUAUAUAUAUAUAUAUAUAUAUAUAAAAGGAAAAGACAGUAGCAAAGCAAUUAAAACAGUCUUAUAGUGUAAACAGUUUCACACCAACACAAUAAAACAGAUUUGUAGAAAAUGCUGGCAAAACAAGGAAUAACGAAAAGAAAAAACAUGCAAUGAUCAUAAUCCAAAAUCAUUUAAGUAAUUAAUCCACAUCGGAAAUCACACAUUACAAACCCAAACCAAAAUAUAUCAUGCGAGACAUUUUAUUUCUACCUUUGUUGUUGCGUCUUUAUACUGAUCAAUAGCAGAAUUGCUUUCUUUUUGAACAAUCUGCGAAGGUCAAGUUUUUAAAAACCUGCAAUCACAAUAUACAGUUUUAACACGACAAAGACAGAGGGAAUUACAGUUUCAAGAAUUUAUAACAUCAAAACAAUUGCCCCAUAGCGAUAGCAUUGAUAAACAAAGAUAUAUCUCUUAAUCAAAACGAAAGAAUACACAUCAACAAAAAAUGUUAAGUUUUUGUCCUUCCUGAUCAAUACACCUUAAAAAUUAAGUGAUAUAUUCAGAAAAACUGCUAAGUUUUUAAGAUUCCUGAUCAUCGCAGUUUAAAAAUCAAGUGAUUCGUUUCUGCUUUUGCUGUUCAGAGGCCAGUCCCCAGCUGCGCUCUCUCUCUCUCCCCCCUCUGAGAAAAUUCACUUACUUCUUCAUCGGGUCUUCGAAUUUGACCAAAAAGAAAACUGAUUUUUUAUUUCUUUCUUUAAUUAAGAAAAUUGGGUGAUUCAGUUCUCCAUUUUUGGAAAAUUUUAAAGAAUCAGGUGCUUGUGGAGAAUGUGUGAGUUAAUUUUUGAACUUUUUUAAAAUACCAUAUAAUUGCAAACUAAUUAGGCAAAUGGGUCGCUGAAAUUCACCGCAAAAAUGCUCCGCAGAAUUGUUGAUUCUAACAAAAUUGAUAGAACCGAGUGGAAGUUUGUAAGACCCAUUUGCAGGAAGGAAACGGGUGCUCUGAAGAAAUUGAAAAGAUAGAAAAUUGAUAGUUCUCAUCCGCAACCACACUCCUUACACCCCCUGUCUCUUUCCCCAACCCUUCUUCACCAAAUGACGCACCCGACCUCUCUCCCCACAGCCAAGGAGCAACCAAAUUCAACUCCAAUAUAAUCGAACUUAAACAAAACUCUAAAUCCACCAAAAACAAAACCCCCCAAUAAUUACAUGUUUUUUCUAAUGCUAUGCAUUGAAUCAAUUGAGAACACAGAAAGAAAACCAAUUUUCAGGGUUUCUUUCAAACAAAUACAAACUGAGAAUCGAAAAUUACGCGUAGUUGUUUUAAAACUUACCCAAGUUCAAUAUAAUUUCUUUGUCAAUAAUCUGAAGAGGCAGCAUGCGAUUAGUCACCAAUUUCACAAAAAAUUUGUCCCAACCUGCAGAUCCGCAGCAAAAACAAAAACAAAGACCUUAAAUUUAUCGGCCUAGAGAUAGCAAAAUGAGGAUAAAACAUUGAGAACAAACUAACCUUAAAGUUCUUGCCCCGACGAUCGCAAGAUGAGAACAAAACGCCGAAUAACAAAGGAUUCAAUACCGGGGGAGACUGGAAACUAAAUGCGAAAGAAAAAGAAAGGAUUUGAGGGCAAAAGACGGGCUGACGAAGAGGGAGAAAACCGCAGACUAAUGAAGGUGAAAAACGAAGAGGAAGGGUAAAAGCAAAAAAGAUGCGGUCAAAGCAGAGAAACAAAGGAUGAAAGACGCGCGGCUGGGGAGGGCAUAGCCGACUUUCCACUGUAGAAAAGUGGAACAGUGCGCAGAGCAAAGAAGAAAUCAAGGGUAUUUUCGUCCUUUCACUCGUAAUAAACAGUAUCAGAAAACUGGAUUUUAAUAUAUGCAUAAUUUGGCAACAAAAAUUGGAGGUGAGGAUAUAGACGUGAUGAGUGAUACAGGAAGAUAGGAUAUAAUCAGGAUCCUUUCCUCCUAAUUCAUUAAAUCAAGAAAUUUGUGUUGUUAAAAUUUGAUUCAACAGUUGAAGUUAUUAUAACUUUUAAAGUAGAUCUCUAUUUGUAGUCGUUUGAUCAAAUUUCAACGUGUAUUAAGAGAAAUGAUCCCUUUCCUAGAUUAAGCAUCCCCUAGUUUUAGUCGUUAAUUAAUUACUAAUUUUUUAUAUUAUGUUGACUACUUUUGAACCUGAAUAUAAUUACAGCCAUCUUAACUGAAUUCAAAUCAAUGAGCAUUAUCAUAGUUUUAUACUUUAGUGUCAAGUUAUGAUAAAUCUAGCCUUAAUUUGCCGCUAGUGGCCUCCAUCAUAAUAAUUAUUACAAAUUAGUAAACAAGCUAUAAGUGCCAUUUCCAGGUUGGUUCGGGUUUUGUUACUGAAAUGUUAUAGGUUCGAGUCGUGACGUCUAUUAGUAAAGUAAGGAUAAUGUUGCGUACACUAAAUUUUCCUCUUCUGACCCUUGCAAAGCAAAAAGCUUUAUUGGCUUGGUGUCAUCUUUUUAGUUCUCAUUAGAAAGGAAUAAACCAGUUGUUAUUAGCAAUUUGUAUCAGCUAAACUGCCAGUAACUAAUAUUCACACAACAGAACUAAGCAAAACUUUGUGGUAUAGACAACAAGUGAAGAAUUUCAUGACAAAGUUACCACAGGAAAGCUUCAACUCUGUGCAGAUUCAUGAAUCUUAUGGUGUUAUCGUGGCACGACGAUAGAAACUGUUAGACCAUUAAUAGAGCUACCACCAGCAGCUGUCUCGAUAUAAUGGUCAGUGAAUAUUCCCGUCGUGAAAGCAGGUUUCUCGGGUUGGCUAAGAGUUACAGUUUCACUUUUCAACAUUACAACAGCAGAAGACAUGGUUGGCCUGUCAUACGCAUCUUCCUGGACACACAACAAUCCGAUAUGGAGAUAUCUUAGAAACUCAUCUGGAUCACAUGAAUCGAGUAGUAGUGGGUCGAGUAGCUCCAACCCUUUUCCGUCAUGCCAUAAUUUCCAUGCCUGCAUCGUAGUCAAUUGGAUAAGCAUUAAGCUGCUGUUUAAUUGCAAAGAGUCUUGCUCUGAGAGAAGUGCAUGAAGUAACUUACAUAUGUUACAAGGCUAGGAACACGUUUUAUUUGAUGAAAGCCGGCGUUCCUUCUCCCAGUUAUGAUCUCAAGCAAUAGUACUCCGAAACCAUAAACGUCAGACUUGACAGAAUAUACUCCCUCCAUUGCAUAUUCUGGAGCCAUGUAUCCGCUAUUCCAAUACAAAAAUCCAGAACAAAAUGUUGAGUACCAUAAGUUUCCUAGUGGGAAGAAAAUUUAGAAAUGAAGCACUUACUAUGUCCCAACUAUUGUAGUCGUAUUUGCUUGGCCUUCACUUCCUGCAAAGAUCCUUGCCAUGCCAAAAUCGGAGAUCUUAGGGUUCAUAUCAUCGUCUAAUAAAACAUUGCUAGCUUUCAGGUCUCUAUGGAUGAUUUGAAGUCGAGACUCCUCGUGUAAAUAAAGAAUUCCCCUUGCAAUUCCACUUAUAAUGUUUACACGUCUGCUCCAAUCAAGCUGCGCUCGUUUCUCUGAAUCUAAGCAUCAUUGGAGGAGAAUUUACAGACUAUAAUAUUUCUGACAAGAAAAUCUUAGCAAUAGUAUAAAACAGUUGAAGUUAAAUCCCACAUACAGAUUUUUGAGAGGAUCAAGAGAAAACAUACCAAAGAGGAAGACAUCUAGGCUGCUGUUUGGCAGGUAUUCAUAGACAAGCAGUUUUUCCUUUCCCUCAACACAAAAACCCAAAAGCCGAACAAGAUUUUUAUGUUGAAGUUUCAUUAGCAGCCGAACUUCAUUUGUGAAUUCCUCUGAGCCUUGCUCAGAACAGCUUGAAAGCCUCUUGAUCGCCACUUCUUUACCGUCACUCAGUACACCCUGCGAAAAACCAGAUUUUAAAUCAAACCACAGAAAAUACCAACCAAGUGGAAGAUAGUAAUACAAAUAUCGAUUUAAUCUUCGCAUAUGUGAACUUUUUGUCCAUAGUUUGCUCAAGAAACAAUUUGCUUUUACUUUAUACCUUGUAAACAGGCCCAAAACCACCUUCUCCGAGCUUAUUUGAAUCAGAAAAUUUAUCCGUAGCUGCAUGUAUAGAUGCCAAACUGAUAUAGGGGUACUCCUCAACUUUCUGGUUUCUGCCUUGAAAACUUCGGUCCGGGAACAAUACAUGUUGUCUUAAAAUCUCACUACUCCCUGAACAGAUCGAAAGAAAAGCUGCUUUCAGAAAAUAUAUUAGAGUGAUGAUCAGCUUUAAAGCAUUUCCAAAUGCAUUAUUAUUACCCUUUUUGUUUCUUUUUCUUACUGCAAGAUGGACACAGGAACCCAAAAGUAGUAUGGCUAGACAUGCUGACACAACCGUAAGGAUCGUGAUCCGCCACCGCCAUCCUCUACCUUCAUUGGAAACAACUAUGCAUUUGCAGUUAAUUUUUAACAUUGUAGCGUCAAAAUAGACAUACACCUUAAAAGUACUCACCGUCCCCUUUGUUGUUAUUUGGAGAGCUGGAAAUAGAAGCUUCAGUUGCACCUUUAUAGAAGCCAUACAACUCGUACCUCAGAUAGCAACUCCGGCUCAUAAGCCGUGCACCAAUGGAGAAAUAAUACUUUCUCAAAACGUCUUCUAUGGCUUGCUGAAGGCAUUUGCCACAGUCAUCUCCAGAUAAGUCUCUAGUGCACUGCACAAGAGCAUAUAUCACUUUAUCUUCAAAUGGUACAUCUCCAGUAGCAUACAUUUUCGCUGAAGCAUCAUAUGCCGCUUGCUUCGCAAGCUCCCUCAGCUUCUCCUUCACAGUAUUCUCGAACUUUUUUGGGUCUGAAACGUUUUUCUUGUUAGUGGACACAAUGUUGUCUGCCACAUUCAAUUCACCAUAGAACUUCACAUCGGAGUAGCGCAGUUGGCACGUUUCCUCCCACACAACUGAUUCUGUUGAGCUGGGACAAAUCCUAACAAUGUCUAAAUGCGCGGUGUUGAUGCAGUUGUGACAUAUCUCAUUCGUAACAUAAUUGAGGCACAUAUAAAGGCCAUAAACUCUAUCUGGUUCAUUUCCAGCGGAGGUAUUGUACAGCUUGGAAACAGAAGCAUUUGAAGGCAAUGAAUUUAGCAGGCUAUGGAGGUUUUUCUGAAACGUACUAUUUUCGACAUAACCGCGAACAUCUGAGCACAACUUGUAUGGAGGAUCAGGAUCAGCAUAAGCAAGAUCA